UGGGGACGCAAAGCAUCAACCAGAGUCCAC
This 30-nucleotide non-coding RNA is filed under the name Rattus norvegicus (Norway rat). The record is from RNAcentral. Lineage: Eukaryota; Metazoa; Chordata; Mammalia; Rodentia; Muridae.